UCCCUGCUGGCUCAGUGGUAAAGAAUCCGCCUACAACGCAGGAGACGCAGGUUCGAUCCCUGGGUAGGGAA
This 71-nucleotide transfer RNA is filed under the name Bos taurus (domestic cattle). It matches the Rfam family "tRNA". From Rfam's summary of the family: Transfer RNA (tRNA) molecules are approximately 80 nucleotides in length. Their secondary structure includes four short double-helical elements and three loops (D, anti-codon, and T loops). Further hydrogen bonds mediate the characteristic L-shaped molecular structure. tRNAs have two regions of fundamental functional importance: the anti-codon, which is responsible for specific mRNA codon recognition, and the 3' end, to which the tRNAs corresponding amino acid is attached (by aminoacyl-tRNA synthetases). tRNAs cope with the degeneracy of the genetic code in two manners: having more than one tRNA (with a specific anti-codon) for a particular amino acid; and 'wobble' base-pairing, i.e. permitting non-standard base-pairing at the 3rd anti-codon position. RNAcentral also lists the same sequence under 2 other names. The record is from Rfam by way of RNAcentral. Lineage: Eukaryota; Metazoa; Chordata; Mammalia; Artiodactyla; Bovidae.